Manis pentadactyla (Chinese pangolin) is the source of this 3939-nucleotide RNA transcript. It is a transcript of the gene named ADAM metallopeptidase domain 15, with no coding region annotated. The record is from RefSeq and is a predicted model, not a curated record. The transcript is spliced from 22 exons. NCBI's taxonomy places the organism in Eukaryota, Metazoa, Chordata, Mammalia, Pholidota, Manidae.
GCUGCCGGAUGAGCAAAGCGGACAGACCCGGCUGCAUCGGCUCCUCGGUGCGCGGCCCAGCACCUGCUGCCCUCGCCCGGCCCGGGGCGCCGCUGCCAUGCGGCUGGCGCUGCUCUGGGCCCUGGGGCUAUUGGGCGCGGGCAGCCCUCCGUCCUCCCGGCCACUCCCAGAUAUUGGUGGCACUGAGGAGGAGCAGGCAAGGCCAGAGAGGACCUUAAGUGGGUCCCUGGAGCCCCAGAUCCUUCAGGACAACUUCACACUCAGCCUAGCGGAGGUGCUUCAGACCAACCUGCCCGAGGCUUUGCGGAUCAAAUUGGAAUUGGAUGGUGAGAGUCAUAUCCUGGAGCUGCUACAGAAUAGGGAUCUAGUCCCAGGCCGCCCAACGCUGGUAUGGUACCAACCUGAUGGCACCCGUGUGGUCAGUAAGGGACACACUCUGGAGAACUGCUGCUACCAGGGAGGAGUACAGGGCCACGCAGACUCACAGGUCUCCAUCUGCACCUGCUCUGGGCUCAGGGGCUUGGUGAUCCUGUCCCCACAAAGAAGCUACACCCUGGAGCUGGGGCCUGGGGACCUUCAGGGUAACCCCGUUGUCUCCCGGAUCCAAGACCUCCUUCUGCCAGGCCACACUUGUGCCCUGAGCUGGCGUGCCUCUGUGCCCACUCAGGUUCCUCCCGAGCACCUCCUGGGAGAGCACCACACCCGCCGGUGGAGGCGGGAUGUGGUGACAGAGACCAAGGUUGUUGAGCUGGUGAUUGUGGCUGAUCAUUCCGAGGUCCGGAGGUACCCAGACUUCCAGCACCUGCUGAACAGAACGCUGGAAGUGGCCCUUCUCCUGGACACAUUUUUCCGGCCCCUGAAUGUACGGGUGGUGCUAGUAGGCCUGGAGGCCUGGACCCAGCAUGACCUGAUGGAGAUAAGCCAGGACCCAGGUCUCACGCUAAGCAACUUCCUCCGCUGGCGCCGGGCAGACUUGCUGCCUCGAUUGCCCCACGACAGUGCCCAGCUGGUGACGGCUACUUCAUUCUCUGGGCCCAGGGUGGGCAUGGCCAUUCAAAACUCCAUCUGUUCUCCUGACUUCUCAGGAGGUGUGAACAUGGACCAUUCCACAAGUAUCCUGGGAGUUGCCUCCUCAAUAGCCCAUGAGUUGGGCCACAGUCUGGGCUUGGACCACAACUCACCUGGGAACAGCUGCCCCUGUCCAGGUCCAGCCCCAGCCAAGAGCUGCAUCAUGGAGGCCUCCACAGACUUCCUACCAGGCCUGAACUUCAGCAACUGCAGCCGACAGGCCCUGGAGAAAGCCCUCCUGGAUGGGAUGGGCAGCUGCCUCUUUGAACGGCUGCCCGGCCUGCCCUCUAUGGCCGCUGUCUGUGGAAACAGGCUUGUGGAGCCCGGCGAGCAGUGUGACUGUGGCUUCCCGGAUGACUGCACUGAUCCGUGCUGUGAUUACUUCACCUGCCAGCUGAGGCCAGGGGCACAGUGUGCAUCUGACGGACUCUGUUGUCAAAAUUGCCAGCUGCGCCCGGCUGGCUGGCAGUGCCGCCCUACCAGAGGGGACUGUGACUUACCCGAGUUCUGCCCAGGAGACAGCUCCCAGUGCCCCCCUGAUGUCAGCCUGGGGGACGGCGAGCCAUGUGCUGGUGGACAGGCUGUAUGCAUGCAAGGGCGCUGCGCCUCCUACGCCCAACAGUGCCAGGCUCUCUGGGGACCUGGGGCCCAGCCCGCCACACCACUUUGCCUCCUUACUGCCAACACCCGGGGGGACGCCUUUGGGAGCUGUGGACGCAGCCCUAAUGGCAGCUAUGUGUCCUGUGCCCCUAGAGAUGCCAUGUGUGGGCAACUCCAGUGUCAGGGGGGUAGGGCCCAGCCGCUGCUGGGCUCAGCCCAGGAUCUGCACUGGGAGAUGCUGGAAGCCAAUGGGACCAGGCUGAAGCUGAACUGCAGCUGGGUACGCCUGGACCUGGGCAACGAUGUGGCCCAGCCCCUCCUGACUCUGCCUGGCACAGCCUGUGGCCCUGGUCUGGUAUGCAUCAACCAUCAGUGCCAGCCCGUGGAUCUCCUGGGAGCACAGGAAUGUCGAAGCAAAUGCCAUGGGCAUGGGGUCUGCAACAGCAAUAGACACUGCCACUGUGAGGAGGGCUGGGCGCCCCCUGACUGUACCACCCACAUCAGAGCAACCAGCUCCCUGACCACAGGGCUGCCCCUCAGCCUCCUGUUGUUGGUCAUCCUGAUACUGCUUGGUGCCAGCUACUGGCACCGUGCACGCCUGCGCCAGCGACUCUGCCAACUCAAGGGACCCAGCUGCCAAUACAGGGCAGCCCAGUCUGGUCCCCCAGAACACCCAGGACCCCCGCAGAGGGCCCUGCUAAUGCCAGGUGUCAAGCGCCCCCCUCCAGGCCGCUGCCUCCUGACCCAGUGCCCAAGAGACUCCAGGCUGAGCUGGCUGACCGACCCAAUCCCCCCACCCGCCCUCUGCCCGCUGACCCGGUGGUGAGACGCCCGAAGGUAACAGUGGGGGAGAGAAGGGCACAGCCUCUCCCCCCACCCAGGGCUGUGGUGCUGGUAGCCAUGGCGGUGGUGGCCUUGGCGAGAUACCUUCUCUGUGCCUGAGGGGCACGUACCCCAAUGGCAUCUUUAAUGGUGACAGGUUUGGAGACAAAGGUGACCUCUGAUGCUACUCCUGGCAAUCUGGUGUUCUCCAACACCAGUGAGUCGGGAGUGGGCAACAUGACAUCCCCUCCCAAGCCAGCCUCCUGCCUUCUUUCUCUCAGUCCCAGGGGCCUGCCAAGCCCCUACCCCCGAGGAAGCCACUACCUGCCAAUCCCCAGGACCGGCGACAUUUGGGUGACCUGCCUGGCCCAGAAGCAGGAAUCCCGCCCCUAGUGGUACCCUCCAGGCCUGCGCCGCCGCCGCCAGCAGUGUCCUCCUCACUCUACCUCUGACCUCUCCUGAGGUUCCGCUGCCUCCAACCCGGAUUUAGGACUCAAAGAUGGACACGCCCCCGUAAGUCUCCCGCAGUGACUGAGGGAGCUGGAGUCUGGACGCUACGGAACAGGCAUCCUAAGACACCCAGCACCUCCGUGCGCAGUUCCAGCAGCAAGCGCCCUGGGGACCCAGCCAUGCAGUUGUCGCAGAGGUUUGGGGAGGGACUGGGCACUGAAUGGAGCUGACGGAGGUGCACAGCCUGUCUCUGCUCAGUGACAAUAAACUUUAGACCUUGGGGGACGUGCCUCCUUCGGAGUUUGUCGGCUCAGGGAAAGGUGACACUGCUGCGGUUCCAGGUAUGGCCGCUAGGAGACGCUGUCGCCUCAGACGCAGACGGGAUGAGGGAGGGCGACAGUCUCACGCUGGGUCAGCGCGUGUUCGCGGGAUGCUCAAGGCUUCUUUCUACCCAGUCCGGAAUAGCUCUCUGCGCAAUCCAGUAUCACGGAGAGUUGUACGCCCUUUGCCACCCCCAAUCGCCAAGAACUCGCCUCCAAACACUGUGCAGCCCCUGGAGGCAUCUAUGAACAAACCGGACAAACAGCUGGACUCGACGUCCUCACCCUCUGACCAGUGUCUGGAAAAAGUGGAUCUUAGCUGGUGUUCUCGGAGCCCUGGAGCCGAGGCGGAGCAGGGCGGCGGCUCCCACGAUCCCUAGACCGCGCACCUGCCUCCUCCUCCUCCCCCCCCCGCCCCCACCUGAGGGCUUGGGAACAAAGGUGCUUUGUACAAGCUGCGACCAUCUCAUUACUUGUCUUCGGGGCUGGGGCCCAUGGGCCCCAGCCCAGAAGGAUGGUGCGGGGCGGAAAAGGACAGGUGGACAUCGAGCUCGCCACCUAAAGCUCUGUAAGCGGACGAGGGCGGUGGAGGGUUUCCAAGCGGCGAUUUUUCCCUUCCCCUCGCGCUAUCCCUAGAUGAGCAAAGAAAAAAGCCAUCUGCUAAGGUGGCUGGACAGGC